This 279-nucleotide ribosomal RNA is filed under the name unidentified marine bacterioplankton. RNAcentral describes it as "partial 16S ribosomal RNA". It matches the Rfam family "Bacterial small subunit ribosomal RNA", at positions 32 to 339 of the family's 1533-position model. The record is from RNAcentral.
AACGCUGGCGGCAGGCCUAACACAUGCAAGUCGAGCGAAGUCUUCGGACUUAGCGGCGGACGGGUGAGUAACGCGUGGGAAUCUACCCUGAGGUUCGGAAUAACGGUUGGAAACGACCGCUAAUACCGGAUGUGCCCUAUGGGGCAAAGGCUUGCCGCCUUGGGAGGAGCCCGCGUCCGAUUAGCUUGUUGGUGGGGUAACGGCCUACCAAGGCGACGAUCGGUAGCUGGUCUGAGAGGAUGAUCAGCCACACUGGGACUGAGACACGGCCCAGACUCC